ACUCCUACGGGAGGCAGCAGUGGGGAAUCUUUGGACAAUGGGGCGAAACCCCUGAUCCAGCCAUGCCGCGUGAGUGAUGAAGGCCUUAGGGUCGUAAAGCUCUUUCGCCAGGGAUGAUAAUGACAGUACCUGGUAAAGAAACCCCGGCUAACUCCGUGCCAGCAGCCGCGGUAAUACGGAGGGGUUAGCGUUGUUCGGAAUUACUGGGGCGUAAAGCGCGCGUAGGCGGACCAGAAAGUUGGGGGUGAAAUCCCGGGGCUCAACCCCGGAACUGCCUCCAAAACUCCUGGUCUUGAGUUCGAGAGAGGUGAGUGGAAUUCCGAGUGUAGAGGUGAAAUUCGUAGAUAUUCGGAGGAACACCAGUGGCGAAGGCGGCUCACUGGCUCGAUACUGACGCUGAGGUGCGAAAGUGUGGGGAGCAAACAGGAUUAGAUACCCUGGUAGGAUAGCG
RNAcentral lists this ribosomal RNA (451 nucleotides) under uncultured bacterium. Its description in RNAcentral is "bacterial SSU rRNA". It matches the Rfam family "Bacterial small subunit ribosomal RNA", at positions 335 to 799 of the family's 1533-position model. The record is from RNAcentral.